RNAcentral lists this unclassified non-coding RNA (2432 nucleotides) under Leishmania donovani. Its description in RNAcentral is "gene:LdHU3.17.1220(CDS-product:hypothetical_prote in_conserved)". Lineage: Eukaryota; Euglenozoa; Kinetoplastea; Trypanosomatida; Trypanosomatidae. The record is from RNAcentral.
CGUGGAGACCUAGAUCAUCUGUUCCUCUUCGUCCUUCGGCAGCUCAGCCUCUGCAGCGUCUCCCACUAUCAUCGCGGGACAGGAACUCUUAGAGCCUAAGACACAUACAUGCGCGCGCGAGUCCACCGACCUGUCCCCGCCCAUCUCUUCUCUCAUAUCAUGGCAUAGAUUGACACCUGUGCACACAUACAUACGGAAGCAGAAGCAGCAUCAAGCCAGCGACGAAGAAGUGCGGUGGAGCGGCGUCUUGGACUGCCGCCACCACCGUGUAUCUCUUUACGCGUGCGGUCUCUCGAUAACGCGUCGGGUAGGGGGAGCUCCGUCACCGUCAUGGCGGCCGCCAUACCGGCGGACUCAGCGGGCAUCCCACCCGACUCCACAUCGAGCCCCUGCGCCCUCUUUCCCACCGAGUCAGAAGCGUAUUUCUGCCUCAGCUGCAACGCUCGGUGUAGUGGCCUCGCGCUAUUAGUGGGGCCGCACACGAGCCAUGACUACCUGCCUCUCUUUGAUGCGCUGCUGUACAUGCCAGCUGCCCUGCUGCGGGAGGCGCGAGAAGUCGUGCAAGAAGCGGAGGAGAGCUUCACCAAGCCUUGGCGAGUGCAGGAUCAGCAGCGCGAGGACACGCUUCUUCACUUGCUCAACCUGCGCCGCAGCAAGCUGGCCGCGGUGGCGCAGCUCAUAGCGGAGCUGCGACAAGUGGAUCGCCAGCUCCUGCACAUUACGGAGGCCAAGGCGCUGGACGUAGCGAACUGGCGUUAUCAACAGCGUGAGCUGCACCGCAAGAUCGAAAAGCUGCACCGCGGCGCCACAGCGCUAGCCUCGUGCUUCGCGUCAGCAUCGUCUUCUUCGACCGCUUCUGGGGCAACGGAUUUGGCUGCGGGGAAGUCGCAAGCGGCCGCUACAGCGUGCCCAUCCUUGUCACACACGCAGUGCGUGGCCCAGAAGGAGCUCGCCAAAGUACGUGAAACGCUGCAGAUACAACUCGCGCAGCUGGAAGAGGAGGAGCGUGCGUCUGCGCAGCGGCUGGAAACGUGGCAUCGACUACUAAGCGAGGUGCCGUGGGGUGGCAACGCAAGCGGCGACUUCAGCUGUACAGCAGAGACCACCGGGGGGGAGAAAGAUGGUACUCAGCAUGUCAGACCGUCGGCGGCAGCACCAAGCGCUGCUGCUGCAGGAAUGAUACAUACACCUGAGCAUGAUCCACCGCCUCAGCCUUGCAGCUACUACUCAGAGCUCUGGCGUGUCUCCGAGGCUGCGGCAGGCGUACCGCUACAGCAGGAGCAGCAGCAGACGCCGUCUCUUUCCGCAUCCCCAGGGACCAACACUGCCGUGGCGGACCGUGGUUCACCGCAUCCCUCCGACGCUGAGGUAGUGCUUCUGCAGCAUGCGCUGCACAACAUCAACGGUGCACUGCGGCAACGACUCCUGCACGCCGCGGCGGCGUCCCUAGCCUCUUCGUCCUCUUCCCAAUCACCCACAACAAGCCACCACACAUCCGGCCGAGAGGAAGCGGCGGCGACCAGCGUCACUAUUUCGGGCCUCCCACCGCUGCCAGUUGCGACGCCUCUGCGCAGCAUGCAGGAUUUUAUGAAAAGCCCCAGCGGUAACAGUGGCGCUGUUGCCCCUUGUGCCCAGCAGAGCGCGGCGCACCCGUCAGAGAGGCUCCCUGGCAGCGCCAACGUCGCUAAAGCAGCCUACGCCAGCCAGUCUGGGAAGGGGCAGCAACAGGAAACGUCCCCUCUGCCGAGAUGUACCGAAGCAACGGUACUUGUCGCCCCGGCGGAGGCAGUAGCCGCAGGAGUAGCGCUUGAUGCAGCGGAGGAGGCUCAGCGACGCGUGUGGUGGCAGUCUCUGCAAGCCCGAGAGCAGGCGAUGAAGGACUCCCUCAAUCAACUCCUCCAGAGUGCCACGACCACAUCCUCGCCGCCGUCAUCAAGAGAGCGUGGCAGCGUCGACAGCGCCGACGGCGCCGGCAGGCCGGCCGGCAGUGCCAUUUUCAGCAGCAUAUCAGCAUACCAGCGGAGUUUGGAGAGCCGGUAGAGGUGAAGUAGGUGCGCGGCACCCCAACGCCCGGAUCCCUCGUCAACCCCACCCCCUCUAUGUGUGAGCGUGUUCGUGCUCGCUGGGUGGUGGUGGUGGUGCUUCUUACCAGUUUUUCUCUUGGCUUCUGGAAUAGAGGAGUCCACUGCAUCUCCGUCUCAACAAGAUCUCCAGCUUGACGGCUCACCCUCCCCACACCCCUCCUCUCGGCCUUCAUGACGCCGCCGAAUGCCCCCCGCCCGCUGUACCAUGUUGCUCGUUGGAGGGAGAAAAGAAGGCUGGUCGAGGUGCCUGAACCCCUUUGUGCAGUGCCGCCAGCCAUGUCAUCUCAGUCCCUUUCACGGCCCCCUCCCUUCCCUUACCCUCCCCCUCUUAUCGUUCACCCGCCCCCC